UGGUGGGUUCUCUAAACAAUGACGUAUAAUCGCAGGGAUACGGUGUUUACAAGUACGUCGACAAGUAUGGAGCUAACGUCGAUGGAUACAGG
Molecule: small RNA, 92 nt
Filed under: Arabidopsis thaliana (thale cress)
Lineage: Eukaryota; Viridiplantae; Streptophyta; Magnoliopsida; Brassicales; Brassicaceae
Description: ATSL075790
Source: RNAcentral